RNAcentral lists this small RNA (28 nucleotides) under Bombyx mori (domestic silkworm). RNAcentral describes it as "ovarian small RNA-18124". Lineage: Eukaryota; Metazoa; Arthropoda; Insecta; Lepidoptera; Bombycidae. The record is from RNAcentral.
UAAACAUGUUGCCGAUGUGGUCGUUGUC